RNAcentral lists this transfer RNA (74 nucleotides) under Candidatus Roizmanbacteria bacterium RIFOXYA1_FULL_41_12. Its description in RNAcentral is "tRNA-Glu". It matches the Rfam family "tRNA". Rfam says of the family: Transfer RNA (tRNA) molecules are approximately 80 nucleotides in length. Their secondary structure includes four short double-helical elements and three loops (D, anti-codon, and T loops). RNAcentral also lists the same sequence under 6 other names. Lineage: Bacteria; Candidatus Roizmaniibacteriota. The record is from RNAcentral.
GCUGCCAUCGUCUAGAGGCCUAGGACGCCACCCUUUCAAGGUGGAGAUCGCGGGUCCGAAUCCCGCUGGCAGCA